RNAcentral lists this ribosomal RNA (253 nucleotides) under uncultured bacterium. RNAcentral describes it as "partial 16S ribosomal RNA". It matches the Rfam family "Bacterial small subunit ribosomal RNA", at positions 524 to 776 of the family's 1533-position model. The record is from RNAcentral.
UACGUAGGGGGCAAGCGUUGUCCGGAUUUAUUGGGCGUAAAGAGCGUGUAGGCGGCCUGGAAGGUCCGUUGUGAAAACUCGAGGCUCAACCUCGAGACGCCGAUGGAAACCACCUGGCUAGAGUCCGGAAGAGGAGAGUGGAAUUCCUGGUGUAGCGGUGAAAUGCGCAGAUAUCAGGAGGAACACCGAUGGCGAAGGCAGCGACUUGGCCCUAUAUUGACGCUCAGGCACGAAAGCAUGGGGAUCAAACAGG